GGGUCAGUAGGUUGGUCGUGCCACCGGUACGUACUGGUCUCACUGAUUCCUCCUUCCUGAAGAACCGUAAUGCCAUUAAUUUGGUGUUGCGGGGAAGCAGGACUGUUACUUUGAAAAAAUUAGAGUGUUUAAAGCAAGCUAACGCUUGAAUACAUCAGCAUGGAAUAAUGAAAUAGGACGAUCGAUCCUAUUUUGUUGGUUUCUAGGAUUGACGUA
RNAcentral lists this ribosomal RNA (216 nucleotides) under Glomeromycotina sp. Its description in RNAcentral is "partial small subunit ribosomal RNA". The stretch from base 40 to 216 matches the Rfam family "Eukaryotic small subunit ribosomal RNA", at positions 686 to 864 of the family's 1831-position model. The record is from RNAcentral. Lineage: Eukaryota; Fungi; Glomeromycota.